This 433-nucleotide ribosomal RNA is filed under the name uncultured bacterium. Its description in RNAcentral is "partial 16S ribosomal RNA". It matches the Rfam family "Bacterial small subunit ribosomal RNA", at positions 29 to 507 of the family's 1533-position model. The record is from RNAcentral.
AACGAACGCUGGCGGCAGGCCUAACACAUGCAAGUCGAGCGAGGACUUCGGUCCUAGCGGCGGACGGGUGAGUAACGCGUGGGAACGUGCCCUUUGCUUCGGAAUAGCUCUGGGAAACUGGGAGUAAUGCCGGAUGAGCCCUUUGGGGGAAAGAUUUAUCGGCGAAGGAUCGGCCCGCGUUGGAUUAGGUAGUUGGUGGGGUAAUGGCCUACCAAGCCGACGAUCCAUAGCUGGUUUGAGAGGAUGAUCAGCCACACUGGGACUGAGACACGGCCCAGACUCCUACGGGAGGCAGCAGUGGGGAAUCUUAGACAAUGGGGGAAACCCUGAUCUAGCCAUGCCGCGUGAGCGAUGAAGGCCUUAGGGUUGUAAAGCUCUUUCAGCUGGGAAGAUAAUGACGGUACCAGCAGAAGAAGCCCCGGCUAACUCCGUG